GACGAACGCUGGCGGCGUGCUUAACACAUGCAAGUCGAACGAUGACGACCGAGCUUGCUCGGUCUGAUUAGUGGCGAACGGGUGAGUAACACGUGAGCAACCUGCCCUUCACUCUGGGAUAACCUCGGGAAAUCGGGGCUAAUACCGGAUAUGAGCUCCUGUCGCAUGGCGGGUGUUGGAAAGUUUUUCGGUGAAGGAUGGGCUCGCGGCCUAUCAGUUUGUUGGUGAGGUAGUGGAUCACCAAGGCGAUGACGGGUAGCCGGCCUGAGAGGGCGACCGGCCACACUGGGACUGAGACACGGCCCAGACUCCUACGGGAGGCGGCAGUGGGGAAUAUUGCACAAUGGGCGAAAGCCUGAUGCAGCGACGCCGCGUGAGGGAUGACGGCCUUCGGGUUGUAAACCUCUUUCAGCAGGGAAGAAGCGAAAGUGACGGUACCUGCAGAAGAAGCGCCGGCUAACUACGUG
RNAcentral lists this ribosomal RNA (467 nucleotides) under uncultured bacterium. Its description in RNAcentral is "partial 16S ribosomal RNA". It matches the Rfam family "Bacterial small subunit ribosomal RNA", at positions 28 to 507 of the family's 1533-position model. The record is from RNAcentral.